Long non-coding RNA from Suricata suricatta (meerkat), 584 nucleotides. RefSeq lists it as uncharacterized. NCBI's taxonomy places the organism in Eukaryota, Metazoa, Chordata, Mammalia, Carnivora, Herpestidae. The record is from RefSeq and is a predicted model, not a curated record. The transcript has 3 exons.
AACCCCGCUUAGCAGCGUGCAGGCCUCCCUGUGAACCAGAGAGCUUUCUGGGCCACAGAAUUGGCCAAGGGCAGCAGAAAAGCAGGGCAGAAAGAAGAUGCAUUUCAAAGGAGGGUCAAGAAUUUGCUGCUCAGGAAAUAUUUCUGGAAGAGUUCAAUGGGGCGUCCUGUGGAAUGUCAACCAUUCCAAAUUCAAGAGGAAGGAAGAACAUUCCCACCCCCUGGAAGGAAACGCCGUACCCCUGGGCCGUCGCCCCCGCCCUCCUCUCACAGACGGGGCAGCCCUGUGUCAGCCCUCCGUCUCUGUAGAUCUGCCUGGUGCGGACAUUCCCUGUGGACGGAACCCAGAGAAUGCUUUGUUCGUUUCCGGGGACAGCUGUGCCGGUGGACGUGUCUCCCCGUGGCUCGGCCCCGCAUGUCCCUGGUGGAGGUGGACCGCCUUCCCGUGUGCUCGCUGGCCAUCCGUGGGUCUUCUCUGGAGAAGUCUGUUCAGAUCCUUCGCUUGUGUUCCCAUCGGAUGACUGGUUUUUUGUUGUCAUGAUGUAGACAUCAGACUCUUAUCAGAUACAAGUGGUUUGUCCCAUU